CAGAGAAGUGCUUUAGCAAUAAAGAACCCGGUGACAAGUGCUGCAUGGCUGUCGUCAGCUCGUGUCGUGAGAUGUUGGGUUAAGUCCCGCAACGAGCGCAACCCUCGCCUUUAGUUGCCAGCAUUCAGUUGGGCACUCUAGAGGGACUGCCGGUGUCAAACCGGAGGAAGGUGGGGAUGACGUCAAGUCCUCAUGGCCUUUAUGUCUAGGGCUACACACGUACUACAAUGGCCGGUACAAAGGGCAGCCACUCAGCGAUGAGGCGCUAAUCCCAUAAAGCCGGUCUCAGUCCGGAUCGCAGUCUGCAACUCGACUGCGUGAAGUUGGAAUCGCUAGUAAUCGUAGAUCAGCAUGCUACGGUGAAUACGUUCCCGGGCCUU
RNAcentral lists this ribosomal RNA (380 nucleotides) under uncultured Desulfovibrio sp. RNAcentral's name for it is "bacterial SSU rRNA". It matches the Rfam family "Bacterial small subunit ribosomal RNA", at positions 1001 to 1382 of the family's 1533-position model. Lineage: Bacteria; Pseudomonadati; Thermodesulfobacteriota; Desulfovibrionia; Desulfovibrionales; Desulfovibrionaceae. The record is from RNAcentral.